UGGGGAUAUUGCACAAUGGGGGAAACCCUGAUGCAGCGACGCCGCGUGAGUGAAGAAGUAUUUCGGUAUGUAAAGCUCUAUCGGCAGGGAAGAAAAAAUGACAGUACCUGACUAAGAAGCCCCGGCUAACUACGUGCC
Molecule: ribosomal RNA, 138 nt
Filed under: uncultured bacterium
Lineage: Bacteria
Description: partial 16S ribosomal RNA
Rfam family: Bacterial small subunit ribosomal RNA
Source: RNAcentral